UGGGGAAUUUUGGACAAUGGGCGAAAGCCUGAUCCAGCAAUGCCGCGUGUGUGAAGAAGGCCUUCGGGUUGUAAAGCACUUUUGUCCGGAAAGAAAUCCUUGGCUCUAAUACAGUCGGGGGAUGACGGUACCGGAAGAAUAAGCACCGGCUAACUACGUGCCAGCAGCCGCGGUAAUACGUAGGGUGCAAGCGUUAAUCGGAAUUACUGGGCGUAAAGCGUGCGCAGGCGGUUUGCUAAGACCGAUGUGAAAUCCCCGGGCUCAACCUGGGAACUGCAUUGGUGACUGGCAGGCUAGAGUAUGGCAGAGGGGGGUAGAAUUCCACGUGUAGCAGUGAAAUGCGUAGAGAUGUGGAGGAAUACCGAUGGCGAAGGCAGCCCCCUGGGCCAAAUACUGACGCUCAUGCACGAAAGCGUGGGGAGCAAACAGGAUUAGAUACCCUGGUAGUCCACGCCCUAAACGAUGUCAACUAGUUGUUGGGGAUUCAUUUCCUUAGUAACGUAGCUAACGCGUGAAGUUGACCGCCUGGGGAGUACGGUCGCAAGAUUAAAACUUAAAUGAA
This 562-nucleotide ribosomal RNA is filed under the name uncultured bacterium. Its description in RNAcentral is "partial 16S ribosomal RNA". It matches the Rfam family "Bacterial small subunit ribosomal RNA", at positions 355 to 909 of the family's 1533-position model. The record is from RNAcentral.